Molecule: ribosomal RNA, 403 nt
Filed under: bacterium
Lineage: Bacteria
Description: partial 16S ribosomal RNA
Rfam family: Bacterial small subunit ribosomal RNA
Source: RNAcentral
UGGGGAAUAUUGCACAAUGGGGGAAACCCUGAUGCAGCGACGCCGCGUGAACGAAGAAGGUAUUCGUAUCGUAAAGUUCUGUCCUAUGGGAAGAUAAUGACAGUACCAUAGAAGAAAGCUCCGGCUAAAUACGUGCCAGCAGCCGCGGUAAUACGUAUGGAGCGAGCGUUGUCCGGAAUUAUUGGGCGUAAAGGGUACGCAGGCGGUUUAAUAAGUCGAAUGUUAAAGCUCGGGGCUCAACCCCGCAAAGCAUUGGAAACUGAUAAACUUGAGUAGUGGAGAGGAAAGUGGAAUUCCUAGUGUAGUCGUGAAAUACGUAGAUAUUAGGAGGAAUACCAGUAGCGAAGGCGACUUUCUGGACACAAACUGACGCUGAGGUACGAAAGCGUGGGGAGCAAACAGG